RNAcentral lists this ribosomal RNA (497 nucleotides) under uncultured bacterium. Its description in RNAcentral is "partial 16S ribosomal RNA". It matches the Rfam family "Bacterial small subunit ribosomal RNA", at positions 28 to 507 of the family's 1533-position model. The record is from RNAcentral.
GACGAACGCUGGCGGCGUGCCUAAUACAUGCAAGUUGAGCGCUGAAGGUUGGUACUUGUACCAACUGGAUGAGCAGCGAACGGGUGAGUAACGCGUGGUGAAUCUGCCUUUGAGCGGGGGACAACAUUUGGAAACGAAUGCUAAUACCGCAUAAAAACUUUAAACACAAGUUUUAAGUUUGAAAGAUGCAAUUGCAUCACUCAAAGAUGAUCCCGCGUUGUAUUAGCUAGUUGGGGAGGUAAAGGCUCACCAAGGGGAUGAUACAUAGCCGACCUGAGAGGGGGAUCGGCCCAAUUGGGAAUGAGACAAGGCCCAAACUCCUACGGGAGGCAGCAGUAGGGAAUCUUCGGCAAUGGAGGAAAGUCUGAACGAGCAACGCCGCGUGAGUGAAGAAGGUUUUCGGAUCGUAAAAAUCUGUUGGUAGAGAAGAAAGUUGGUGAGAGUGGAAAGCUCAUCAAGUGACGGUAACUAACCAGAAAGGGACGGCUAACUACGUG